RNAcentral lists this ribosomal RNA (912 nucleotides) under uncultured Acidobacteriota bacterium. Its description in RNAcentral is "bacterial SSU rRNA". It matches the Rfam family "Bacterial small subunit ribosomal RNA", at positions 28 to 918 of the family's 1533-position model. The record is from RNAcentral. Lineage: Bacteria; Pseudomonadati; Acidobacteriota.
AAUCAACGCUGGCGGCGUGCCUAACACAUGCAAGUCGAACGCGAAAGGGGCUUCGGCCCUGAGUAGAGUGGCGAACGGGUGAGUAACACGUGGGUGAUCUACCUUCGAGCGGGGGAUAACGUUCCGAAAGGAGCGCUAAUACCGCAUGAUGUUCUGGGUUUGAAGACCUGGAAACCAAAGCCGGGGACCGCAAGGCCUGGCACUCGAAGAGGAGCCCGCGUCCGAUUAGCUAGUUGGCGGGGUAAUGGCCCACCAAGGCGACGAUCGGUAGCCGGCCUGAGAGGGCGGACGGCCACACUGGGACUGAGACACGGCCCAGACUCCUACGGGAGGCAGCAGUGGGGAAUUGUUCGCAAUGGGCGCAAGCCUGACGACGCAACGCCGCGUGGAGGAUGAAGGUCUUCGGAUUGUAAACUCCUGUUGACGGGGAAGAAUGGCCCUUGGGUGAAUAAUCCAGGGGAAUGACGGUACCCGUUGAGGAAGCCACGGCUAACUCUGUGCCAGCAGCCGCGGUAAUACAGAGGUGGCAAGCGUUGUUCGGAAUUACUGGGCGUAAAGGACGCGUAGGCGGCCGCCUAAGUCAGACGUGAAAUCCCCCGGCUUAACCUGGGAACUGCGUCUGAUACUGGGUGGCUUGAGUUCGGGAGAGGGAUGCGGAAUUCCAGGUGUAGCGGUGAAAUGCGUAGAUAUCUGGAGGAACACCGGUGGCGAAGGCGGCAUCCUGGACCGAUACUGACGCUGAGGCGCGAAAGCUAGGGGAGCAAACGGGAUUAGAUACCCCGGUAGUCCUAGCCCUAAACGAUGAGUGCUUGGUGUGGCGGGUAUCGAUCCCUGCCGUGCCGAAGCUAACGCAUUAAGCACUCCGCCUGGGGAGUACGGUCGCAAGGCUGAAACUCAAAUGAAUUGACGGGG